This 496-nucleotide ribosomal RNA is filed under the name uncultured bacterium. RNAcentral describes it as "partial 16S ribosomal RNA". It matches the Rfam family "Bacterial small subunit ribosomal RNA", at positions 28 to 507 of the family's 1533-position model. The record is from RNAcentral.
GAUGAACGCUGGCGGCGUGCCUAAUACAUGCAAGUCGAGCGAACAGACGAGGAGCUUGCUCCUCUGACGUUAGCGGCGGACGGGUGAGUAACACGUGGAUAACCUACCUAUAAGACUGGGAUAACUUCGGGAAACCGGAGCUAAUACCGGAUAAUAUAUUGAACCGCAUGGUUCAAUAGUGAAAGACGGUUUUGCUGUCACUUAUAGAUGGAUCCGCGCCGCAUUAGCUAGUUGGUAAGGUAACGGCUUACCAAGGCAACGAUGCGUAGCCGACCUGAGAGGGUGAUCGGCCACACUGGAACUGAGACACGGUCCAGACCCCUACGGGAGGCGGCAGUAGGGAAUCUUCCGCAAUGGGCGAAAGCCUGACGGAGCAACGCCGCGUGAGUGAUGAAGGUCUUCGGAUCGUAAAACUCUGUUAUUAGGGAGAACAAAUGUGUAAGUAACUAUGCACGUCUUGACGGUACCUAAUCAGAAAGCCACGGCUAACUACGUG